Molecule: ribosomal RNA, 845 nt
Filed under: uncultured bacterium
Lineage: Bacteria
Description: bacterial SSU rRNA
Rfam family: Bacterial small subunit ribosomal RNA
Source: RNAcentral
GGAGUUUGAGAGAGGGCAAUGGAAUAUCUGGUGUAGCAGUGAAAUGCGUAGAUAUCAGAUAGAACACCAAUGGCGAAGGCAGUUGCCUGGCUCAAUACUGACGCUAAAGCACGAAAGUGUGGGUAGCAAACAGGAUUAGAUACCCUGGUAGUCCACACCCUAAACGAUGAAUACUAGAUGUUGGUCCUUUUAAGGAUCAGUAUCUGAGCUAACGCAUUAAGUAUUCCACCUGGGAAGUACGAUCGCAAGGUUGAAACUCAAAGGAAUUGACGGGGGCCCGCACAAGCAGUGGAGCAUGUGGUUUAAUUCGAUGCAACGCGAAGAACCUUACCUAGGCUUGAAAGGCUAGCUAAUCCUGAUGAAAGUCGGGGUGCCGCAAGGCGAGCUAGUACAGGUGCUGCAUGGCUGUCGUCAGCUCGUGCCGUGAGGUGUUGGGUUAAGUCCCGCAACGAGCGCAACCCUUGUCCUUAGUUGCCAACAGGUAAUGCUGAGCACUCUAAGGAGACUGCCUACGCAAGUAGUGAGGAAGGUGAGGAUGACGUCAAGUCCGCAUGGCCCUUACGCCUAGGGCCACACACGUGCUACAAUGGCUACUACAAAGGGGAGCAAGACCGCAAGGUGGAGCAAAUCCCUAAAAAGUAGUCUCAGUUCGGAUCGGAGUCUGCAACUCGACUCCGUGAAGCUGGAAUUGCUAGUAAUCGCGCAUCAGCACGGCGCGGUGAAUACGUUCCCGGGCCUUGUACACACCGCCCGUCAAGCCAUGGAAGUUGGGGGUACCCGAAGUCGCCUUUAAUAAGCGCCGAAGGUAAAACCAAUGACUGGGGCUAAGUCGUAACAAGGUAAAG